RNAcentral lists this long non-coding RNA (201 nucleotides) under Panax ginseng (ginseng). Its description in RNAcentral is "long non-coding RNA (PGIN_LNC012190)". The record is from RNAcentral. Lineage: Eukaryota; Viridiplantae; Streptophyta; Magnoliopsida; Apiales; Araliaceae.
UUGGACCAUCACUACAUUCCUAGACUAGUCUCAGCUAUAUUCUCAUUUUCUGAAGAGAACAAUGAAAGAAAAGGGUUAGCUCAACUAGCCCAUUAAAGAAUAUUAUGACUAAGAUAAUGUAGAACAAAUUAUCCUUAGUACUCAACAGGGAAAAAUCUGAAUGGAUACAACAGACAACAAGUUUUAGAUCAACAACUGCAG